CAGCCGCAGGUCUGUGAUCAGUCCCAGGCCUGCCUCCUGGACAGCUCAUGAUGUCUGGGCCAGCUCCCCUCCCAGCUGCAGCAGGUCCCUUGGGGAGAGAGCACAGGCUGGCGAUGGGAUGGGGCUCACUCCCAAAUACAAAUUAAAACUAUGCUGGGGCCAGGCGUGGUGGCUCACACCUGUAAUCUCAGCACUUUAGGAGGCUGAGGCAGGCAGAUCACCUGAUGUCAGGAGUUCAAGACCAGCCUGGCCAUCAUGGUGAAACCUCGUCUCUACUAAAAAUACAAAAAAUUAGCCAGGCAUGGUGGCACACUCCUGUAGUCCCAGCUACUUGGGAGGCUGAGGCAGGAGAAUUGCUUGAACGCAGGACAUGGAGACUGCAGUAAGCCGAGAUCAUGGCACUGCAUUCCAGCCUGGGCGACACAGUGAGACUGCGUCUCAAAAAAUAAAUAAAUAAAAUAAAAAUAAAAAUAAAACUAUACUAGGCUGGGUGCAGUGGCAUGCACCUGCAGUUUCAGCUAUGUGGGAAGCUGAGGCAGGAUUGCUUGAGCCCAGGAGUUUGAGGCCAGCAUGAGAAACACAGUGAGACUCCAUCUCAAAAACAAAAGAGAAAGAAAAAAAAAAAAACACACACACACACACCAACUCUACACUGGGAUGCCAUUUGUCCACUAUCAGACUAGGGGGAAAAACAAGGGUCACAUAAUACACAGGGAGGGGCUUUGGGGUAACAGGCGCUCCCCUACACAGCUGGUGGGAAGGUGAGUACAACCACAAUGGAGAGCACUGGGGGAAAGCUCCGAGAACUAUGCAUGCAUAGGACCUUCCCACCAGCUCCUCCUCUAAGAACGUAUCCAAAGAUAUACUCCAGCACAGAGAAGAUGGCUUGUGCACAAGGGGGUUCACUGCAGCAUUGCUCGUGUAAAAAAUCCUGGUGACAACCUGAAUGUCUAUCAAAAGGGGACUAAGUACGUGAUGGUACAUCUAUUCAGUGGAACACUCUGUGGUUAAGAAAACCAGUGGAGAAGUUCUUACUGGUCUGACACAGAGUCACCUCCCAAUUAUAACUAAUAUGUGAGGAAAGCAUCUUCGAGAACUGUGAAGAUGAAAUUUUACCAGGCAUAUAUACAAAAAAGUGUGCAUGUGUCUGUGUGUGUGUGUGUGUGUGAUCUGCUUUAUUUGAUUAUGUAAGAUAACCCUGGA
Molecule: long non-coding RNA, 1203 nt
Filed under: Macaca fascicularis (crab-eating macaque)
Lineage: Eukaryota; Metazoa; Chordata; Mammalia; Primates; Cercopithecidae
Description: lncRNA (ENSMFAG00000049134.1)
Source: RNAcentral